ACAGAUCCGUGUAUGCUCCUAAGCAGUUAGAUCAGCCUUUUUGUAAAAAGGUGAAUCAACUCUGUUUAAUAUUCUUCAAACUGAAAAAAAAUACCAUUUUAGUCUAUACUCACAUAUCUUAAAAACAAUCAACGUAAAAUGCACAACAAAAUCAAAAAUACAACAAACAACAAAUCUUUAAAGAUUGGUUCUCCGAGAAAUAAAAAAAGUCAUCAGAUAUAAGAAACUGGAGAUGAUGACCUGUUCAAAGAAGAAAAAAUGAAACUAUGGCCCCUUGUCGUUUUAGCAAGAGUAAGAUGGUGAAAGAAAAAAAAAUCUAUGAAAUCCCAAAGAAUUAGAUAGAGAAGAACGCAUAAACCAGAGUUUGGGUUAAAGGAUGUGCUUAUGAGUAUAUAUCUAUGGUUUUAAGCGGUGGUGAUGGAUGUCAAUGGUACUCCACCUGUGAAGACAAAAGUGGAAAAAUAUGAACACCUAUAGUUUUAGAGAAGGUAGAUACAAUGGUGGGUUUUGAUGUCGAUUAGAGGUUGAUGUGGCAGUGUUACAUGUGAUGGUGACUAAUGAUGCCGGAGAGAGACUAUACAGGUCGGAUUGGAUCUCCGUCGGAUGUCGCUGACGAUUGCGAUGAAAAUAUGGCCGUUUGUAGCUCCGUAGUGUAGGAAUCGUUUACGGUGGUGAAUGAUUUUCUGAGAGAGAGAGAACGUAGGUUAUGC
Molecule: long non-coding RNA, 710 nt
Filed under: Lactuca sativa (garden lettuce)
Lineage: Eukaryota; Viridiplantae; Streptophyta; Magnoliopsida; Asterales; Asteraceae
Description: long non-coding RNA (LSAT_LNC004488)
Source: RNAcentral